RNAcentral lists this ribosomal RNA (571 nucleotides) under bacterium T-1-0-1A. Its description in RNAcentral is "bacterial SSU rRNA". It matches the Rfam family "Bacterial small subunit ribosomal RNA", at positions 387 to 948 of the family's 1533-position model. The record is from RNAcentral.
AGGAGCAACGCCGCGUGAGUGAAGAAGGUUUUCGGAUCGUAAAACUCUGUUGUUGGAGAAGAAUGUAUCUGAUAGUAACUGAUCAGGUAGUGACGGUAUCCAACCAGAAAGCCACGGCUAACUACGUGCCAGCAGCCGCGGUAAUACGUAGGUGGCAAGCGUUGUCCGGAUUUAUUGGGCGUAAAGCGAGCGCAGGCGGUUAUCUUAAGUCUGAUGUGAAAGCCUUCGGCUCAACCGAAGAAGUGCAUCGAGAAACUGGGAAACUUGAGUGCAGAAGAGGACAGUGGAACUCCAUGUGUAGCGGUGAAAUGCGUAGAUAUAUGGAAGAACACCAGUGGCGAAGGCGGCUGUCUGGUCUGUAACUGACGCUGAGGCUCGAAAGCAUGGGUAGCAAACAGGAUUAGAUACCCUGGUAGUCCAUGCCGUAAACGAUGAGUGCUAGGUGUNGGAGGGUUCCGCCCUUCAGUGCCGCAGCUAACGCAUUAAGCACUCCGCCUGGGGAGUACGACCGCAAGGUUGAAACUCAAANGAAUUGACGGGGGCNCGCACNAGCGGUGGAGCAUGUGGUUUA